Molecule: long non-coding RNA, 1396 nt
Filed under: Homo sapiens (human)
Lineage: Eukaryota; Metazoa; Chordata; Mammalia; Primates; Hominidae
Description: HSALNT0076619
Source: RNAcentral
AGAGGAAAACAAUUGACUUCUACAAGAGUACAAGCAAAAUUGUUUCGUAUUUGGUUAAAGAGCUGUUAGGCAAAUCACCCCAGGAGGAUGGAGGAUGAGAAUUCUGAUCCUUAGAAGAGGAUGUCCUGCUCACUCGGUUUUACUAUAUUAUUACGCUUUUCAAAUCAAUGGGUGUCAGAUCUCUCUUCAAAAUAUUUUAGAGAAUCUCACAUAGUUAGAACUGAUAAAGAUGUUAGAAAUGAUUAAAUCUAAUUUUCACAUCUUAUAAACAAAUAACUGAAUACUGCGAUGAAUAAUGAUCUGUAAUUUGGAAAGUGUUUCUACAUCCAUAGGAAUCAGACUCAGCCUCAUGCCUGGAUGGUGAAAAGUCACAUGACCAGUAAGCCGCCAUCCACAGGGCUCCUGCAGAACAGGCACAAAACAGAAAAGGACCGUGAGAUGCUGAGACUUGGUACAGUCUAAAAGAGCUAAAAUUCCAAAAACAAAAAUGACACGAAGUAUAUACUCUGGAUCAGAGAAAAAUGAAAUAAAAAGAACGAGGUUUAUAAAAUAAGGAAGAGGAGUCUAAGCAUAGAGAAGAGAACAAUUGCUGUCAGAUUACAACACCUCAGAGUCCAAGGAGGGGGCUAAGAAGAAAAAAUACAGAGAAGAAGCCGCCACUGCUGUUUUUAUAUAGGGGUAGAAGGUAUAGAGGUUUUUCUAUUUUAUUUAUUUUUUUUUUUUUGAGACGGAGUCUCGCUGUGUCGCCCGGCUGGAGUGCAGCGGCGCGAUCGCGGCUCCCUGCAAGCUCCGCCUCCCAGGUUCAUACCAUUCUCCUGCCUCAGCCUCCUGAGUAGCUGCGACUACAGGCGCCCGCCACCACGCCCGGCCAAUUUUUUUCUAUUUUUUAGUAGAGACGGGGUUUCACCGUGUUAGCCAGGAUGGUCUCGAUCUCCUGACCUCGUGAUCCGCCCGCCUCGACCUCCCAAAGUGCUGGGAUUACAGGCGUGAGCCACCACGCCCGGCCAUAUGUUAUUAAAUGAAAAUGCCAGCUUAAAAACAAAAGUGAGGAAAGCCAAGCUGAGGUACAUCCUGCAAGUUCAACAAAAUUUAGAAACAUUUCAUCAUGUGCCUCACAUAAACCAACAGAACUUUUUUUUCUGUUACAUUGUAUAUAAAAUGAACUUUGUGUGUUUUCUUUUAAAUUCAGGCUGAAAAAAUGUCACUCAUGUUUUUAUUAGAAUGGUAACCUUUUGUAAUAAAAAUAAUGUUCUUCAUACUAAUUUAUUUAGUGAUCUAAAAGAUGAAUAAGUCUUUACAUAGUUUGAUUCUAGUGAAACAAGGACAUUUUUGGGGUAGGAUGAAUGUGAGGAGUCAAACAUUUCCUAAGACACAAUGAACUUAGUUUUAGACCAUG